Non-coding RNA from Sus scrofa (pig), 1923 nucleotides. The record is from RefSeq and is a predicted model, not a curated record. NCBI's taxonomy places the organism in Eukaryota, Metazoa, Chordata, Mammalia, Artiodactyla, Suidae.
ACCAAUGGCAUAUGGAAGUUCCCAGCCCAGGGAUUGAAUGAGACACAGCUGCAACCUAUGCCACAGCUGCAGCAAUGUCAGAUCUUUCUAACCCACUGCACCAGGCUGGGGAUCAAACCCAUACCUCUGCAAGUGACUCAGGAGACUAAGUCAGAUUCUUAACCCCCUGUGGCAUGGUCGGAUGCCCAUUUAGUUCUUCUUUAGAUCUUCUAUUUCUUUGCUAAAGCUUUCUGGUUUUUUCAGUUACUUCAAGCAUAUGCAUAAUUUUUGUUAGGGCAUUUUUAUUAUGGCUGCUUUAAAAUAGUUUUCAGGUUAUCCUGACAUCUCUGUCCUUUAGACGGUAGCAGCUACGGAUGGUCUUUUUUCAUUCAGUUUGAGAUCUUCUCUGUUCUUGGUAUGAAGAGUGAUUUUGAAUGACAUGAACAUUUAAAAAUUAUUUUAUGGGACUCUGGAUCUUAUUUAUUUAUGUAUUGCUUGACGUGGGAUCCCAAGUCCCAGACCGGGGGAUCCAGUUGGGAUGCAGCAGUGAAUGCGCUGAAUCCUAGCCACUAGACCACCAGGGAACUCCCUAUGGAUGUUAUUUAAGCCUUCUGUGUCAGCUGGCUUUUCCUGCCACUGCUCUGGCAGGAAAAGGGGAGGUGCUUCCCCUUUCCUGGCAGGUGGAGGUAGAAGUUCAAGUUUCCUCUUCAGCCUCUGUUGACGACUGAGGGCUGAGGGUGGGAGUUCCACUGCCUCACGUGGUCUCCACUGCCACCUCAGCGAUGAUGGCCUGACUGCUGCAGAAGUGAGUGGAAUUCUGACUCUCAAGGACACCACCCCAGCAGGGAGGGGGAGGGAGGCCGAAUUCCUGCCAAUCUGGCUGGAAGUCAGGUUUCCACGUGGUAUCCUGGAGUGGACCCUGCGUGUGGGAGGCCUCAUUACCAGCUGGCUGGGGUGAAAGUCCCCACUCCCUACCUGGCCCUCUCCGCAACCACCCUGGCAGGGAUGUUGAGUGCCUGUGAUUGGCCUGGGGAGAGUGGAAAGCUAGGCUCACCACUUAGCCUUCGCUGGUGUGGGUGUGGGUGGGGCCACAGCUUUUGUGUAAUAUUUGGCUGGAAUCGAGUGGUUCUUUCUGAAGUUUUCUGCCUUGUCAGGCUGCCCCUUUCCUGGGGAGAAAGGCAGGCCUUCGUUGGGGCUGGGUCUGCAGUGUCUCCAGGUUGCGGCCUUCCUUACCUCCAAGCCUGGGACACUCAGGGCAAAAAGAAAAGCCAGGGAAGCCCAUUGCUGUGCUGUUUGUUCCUUGGGUCCUGAGGUCCCUGGCCAUUCUGCCUUCUCUUCACCUUCCUCUUCUUAACAUUUCUUUGUCUGUGGUUUCCAGGGCUUUAGUUGCUGUAUUUAGCAGGAGGAAUAGGAAAAAGCACAUCGACUCUGUUUUCCCAGGAGCAGAGAUCUCUCAGCCAGAAAAGGAGGAUUUACGGGAAAGCUACCGAGGUACGUCAUUCAGUCAAAGGAAUGGUUGGGCAGCCGGCCUGCAGGAGGAGACAGGCACAGCUGGGCCUCAGGAAUUUCUGGAACUGGCGCCGGGGUGCUGGAGGCCCUUGCUUGUCUCGACUCGUCCUCCUCGUGUGCAUCAGUCGCAUUCUCUCUCUCUCUCCACGUGAAAUUCGAGGAAUGAAUGCGGCCACCUCAUGCAUCAAAAUUUCACAUCUCGUGGCUCCUCCAGCAGAAGGAGCCAGACUUCCUGAGCUCCUGUUUGACCAAACGUUCGGGAAGAUCUUCCUUUGGCCCGGCUUGGGCCAGGUGUGCUCCUGGACCCACUGACUCCGGUCGGGUCAGGGAGUGUCUCUAAGGACCUGGCAGCUUCUGGGGGGUCACAAGGAUGCAGAGGAAUGCCUCUCGGCAAAAUGGAGGGUGCUGGAAAGAUAACACGUUGGUUUAUUCUUA